Molecule: long non-coding RNA, 323 nt
Organism: Poecilia latipinna (sailfin molly)
Lineage: Eukaryota; Metazoa; Chordata; Actinopteri; Cyprinodontiformes; Poeciliidae
Exons: 2
Source: RefSeq, a predicted model, not a curated record
ACAGUAGCAGUAGUUGUUUAAAACAUAAUUAGUCGGUAAAGGGCAGCGUCGGGAAGUACUUUCAGGAAGUAGUUUGUUGCCGUGUUUGAGUGACAGCCCAUAACGGGACGGCGGACGGUGUUGUAUCGAAAAAGGCACCCCUGCCAUGAAAAGCACCCCUGUCGUCGGAAGCGCAUUAGAAGGCAGAUAGGCAGCCCGCAGAGCCGAGCCGAUACUCAAGAUGGCAGGUCUAUCUUUAUACUUUGAAGAUGGCCAUGAUGAUCUGGACGAUUGUAAGUAUAUCAAUAAAUUUGUAUGACAAAAUAUAGACAUAUAUAUUUAAA